UACGUAGGGCGCAAGCGUUGUCCGGAAUUAUUGGGCGUAAAGAGCUCGUAGGCGGCUUGUCACGUCGGGUGUGAAAGCCCGGGGCUUAACCCCGGGUCUGCAUUCGAUACGGGCUAGCUAGAGUGUGGUAGGGGAGAUCGGAAUUCCUGGUGUAGCGGUGGAAUGCGCAGAUAUCAGGAGGAACACCAAUGGCGAAGGCGGCGUCCUGGACCGGCACUGACGCUGAGGAGCGAAAGCGUGGGGAGCGAUCCGG
RNAcentral lists this ribosomal RNA (253 nucleotides) under uncultured bacterium. RNAcentral's name for it is "partial 16S ribosomal RNA". It matches the Rfam family "Bacterial small subunit ribosomal RNA", at positions 524 to 776 of the family's 1533-position model. The record is from RNAcentral.